This 1554-nucleotide ribosomal RNA is filed under the name Escherichia fergusonii. RNAcentral describes it as "bacterial SSU rRNA". It matches the Rfam family "Bacterial small subunit ribosomal RNA". The record is from RNAcentral. Lineage: Bacteria; Pseudomonadati; Pseudomonadota; Gammaproteobacteria; Enterobacterales; Enterobacteriaceae.
AAAUUGAAGAGUUUGAUCAUGGCUCAGAUUGAACGCUGGCGGCAGGCCUAACACAUGCAAGUCGAACGGUAACAGGAAACAGCUUGCUGUUUCGCUGACGAGUGGCGGACGGGUGAGUAAUGUCUGGGAAACUGCCUGAUGGAGGGGGAUAACUACUGGAAACGGUAGCUAAUACCGCAUAACGUCGCAAGACCAAAGAGGGGGACCUUCGGGCCUCUUGCCAUCGGAUGUGCCCAGAUGGGAUUAGCUGGUAGGUGGGGUAACGGCUCACCUAGGCGACGAUCCCUAGCUGGUCUGAGAGGAUGACCAGCCACACUGGAACUGAGACACGGUCCAGACUCCUACGGGAGGCAGCAGUGGGGAAUAUUGCACAAUGGGCGCAAGCCUGAUGCAGCCAUGCCGCGUGUAUGAAGAAGGCCUUCGGGUUGUAAAGUACUUUCAGCGGGGAGGAAGGGAGUAAAGUUAAUACCUUUGCUCAUUGACGUUACCCGCAGAAGAAGCACCGGCUAACUCCGUGCCAGCAGCCGCGGUAAUACGGAGGGUGCAAGCGUUAAUCGGAAUUACUGGGCGUAAAGCGCACGCAGGCGGUUUGUUAAGUCAGAUGUGAAAUCCCCGGGCUCAACCUGGGAACUGCAUCUGAUACUGGCAAGCUUGAGUCUCGUAGAGGGGGGUAGAAUUCCAGGUGUAGCGGUGAAAUGCGUAGAGAUCUGGAGGAAUACCGGUGGCGAAGGCGGCCCCCUGGACGAAGACUGACGCUCAGGUGCGAAAGCGUGGGGAGCAAACAGGAUUAGAUACCCUGGUAGUCCACGCCGUAAACGAUGUCGACUUGGAGGUUGUGCCCUUGAGGCGUGGCUUCCGGAGCUAACGCGUUAAGUCGACCGCCUGGGGAGUACGGCCGCAAGGUUAAAACUCAAAUGAAUUGACGGGGGCCCGCACAAGCGGUGGAGCAUGUGGUUUAAUUCGAUGCAACGCGAAGAACCUUACCUGGUCUUGACAUCCACGGAAGUUUUCAGAGAUGAGAAUGUGCCUUCGGGAACCGUGAGACAGGUGCUGCAUGGCUGUCGUCAGCUCGUGUUGUGAAAUGUUGGGUUAAGUCCCGCAACGAGCGCAACCCUUAUCCUUUGUUGCCAGCGGUCCGGCCGGGAACUCAAAGGAGACUGCCAGUGAUAAACUGGAGGAAGGUGGGGAUGACGUCAAGUCAUCAUGGCCCUUACGACCAGGGCUACACACGUGCUACAAUGGCGCAUACAAAGAGAAGCGACCUCGCGAGAGCAAGCGGACCUCAUAAAGUGCGUCGUAGUCCGGAUUGGAGUCUGCAACUCGACUCCAUGAAGUCGGAAUCGCUAGUAAUCGUGGAUCAGAAUGCCACGGUGAAUACGUUCCCGGGCCUUGUACACACCGCCCGUCACACCAUGGGAGUGGGUUGCAAAAGAAGUAGGUAGCUUAACCUUCGGGAGGGCGCUUACCACUUUGUGAUUCAUGACUGGGGUGAAGUCGUAACAAGGUAACCGUAGGGGAACCUGCGGUUGGAUCACCUCCUUACCUUAAAGAAGC